RNAcentral lists this ribosomal RNA (254 nucleotides) under uncultured bacterium. RNAcentral's name for it is "partial 16S ribosomal RNA". It matches the Rfam family "Bacterial small subunit ribosomal RNA", at positions 524 to 776 of the family's 1533-position model. The record is from RNAcentral.
GACGAACCGUGCGAACGUUAUUCGGAAUCACUGGGCUUAAAGCGCGUGUAGGCGGGCCGUCCCGUCGGUCGCUGAAAUCCCCCGGCUCAACCGGGGAAGUGGCGCCGAUACGAGCGGCCUGGAGGGGAGUAGGGGGGCCUGGAACUUCCGGUGGAGCGGUGAAAUGCGUUGAGAUCGGAAGGAACGCCCGUGGCGAAAGCGAGGCCCUGGACUCUUUCUGACGCUGAGACGCGAAAGCCAGGGGAGCGAACGGG